GACGAACGCUGGCGGCGUGCCUAACACAUGCAAGUCGAACGGAGUGUUGCGCUGAUUUGAUAUUAGCUUGCUAAUGGAUUUUCUUGUAACACUUAGUGGCGGACGGGUGAGUAACGCGUGAGCAACCUGCCUUACAGAGGGGGACAACAGUUGGAAACGACUGCUAAUACCGCAUAACGUGUCUGGGGGACAUCCCCUGGAUACCAAAGGAGCAAUCCGCUGUAAGAUGGGCUCGCGUCCGAUUAGAUAGUUGGUGGGGUAAAGGCCUACCAAGUCGACGAUCGGUAGCCGGACUGAGAGGUUGAACGGCCACAUUGGGACUGAGACACGGCCCAGACUCCUACGGGAGGCAGCAGUGGGGGAUAUUGCACAAUGGAGGAAACUCUGACGCAGUGACG
RNAcentral lists this ribosomal RNA (398 nucleotides) under uncultured bacterium. Its description in RNAcentral is "bacterial SSU rRNA". It matches the Rfam family "Bacterial small subunit ribosomal RNA", at positions 28 to 396 of the family's 1533-position model. The record is from RNAcentral.